GCAGACAAAGCUCUCCCCUGGCAAAGGGACCUGACCUCCUGCAGCUCUGUCACCUCAGCCCUGGAAGAUUGCAGCCUUGGCCCUGAGGACUGCUGUGUGCCUUGGGCAGUUUGCAAGGAGAUGAAGCGCACUGUGAAGUAGCAGCAGUUUAACCUGAGGAAUGGGAAAGCCAACAUCUGUGAAGAGCCAGGACAGUAGCCAUGGCCAUUGCUUUUCCAUGUCUAUUUUCUGAGCACUCCAGCAUAUCUGGUCUUUCAUAUGGAUGUCCUCCAGAAACAAGGCAAUGCAAGCUGAUCUCCACAGAGACAGAGAGACACUGCACCCUGACCUUGGUGCACAGGGAUUUUUUUCACUUGUCACACAAACAUUUUACUGGCACUGGAGUGGAAAGGGAGCAGUUCCCAACCGACAGAGUAGCCAUACUUCCUUGGAUCAGCCCAUAACUUGGGAUUUAAAAAAAUUGUAAAAGCGAAAGGAGACCUCUUUUUCUUAAAGCAGAAAUGCCCAGUAAUACCCAUGUUCUACCUCAUGUAAGUUUGAAGAAUUUUUAAGGCAUCGCAUGCUGAGGAUGAUACAGGGGAGCAUCAGCCAGAGUCACUGGUGUCCUCUUAGGGCUUGCUGCUGGAUCAGCCUGCAAGAUCCCCAAUAGUUUAACUGCAGGCAGGAUUUAAAGCUCUGCAGAUCACAGCUACCUGAGCAAUAUAACAGAUUUUACAGGACAAGAACAGGUUCUGUGUACGGACAAUGGGCAUUGCCACACAGGCACAGUCCCUGCACUGCCACGGCCGGGCCACGCUGCCUCCUCAGACACUGAUUUCCUGAGGCUUUGCCUGAUGCUGUUUUAAUUCUUCACACUGAGGGGCUCCAUCACUCACUCACCCUGGGAGAUCAUUCCACAGUUUAGUAGACAUCACUACAGCAGUUUUACCCCUGACAUUCAUCCAAAAUUCUACUUUUCCUAAUUUAAUUCCAUUCUCUACAAUUUGUUUUUUCCUUCAUGGAUAUUAAGGAGUUCCUUUCUUAUUCCAGAUAAAGUCAAGGUAUUAGCAACUUGACUUCACUCCUUAGCUGGGGAGGUGUAACCUUGAGCAAGUACAGGUAGGUAAUUAUGGACUGUACUUAGGGGUCCGCGAAAACUUUCUGCCUGAUUUCCCAUCCCUGCAGGGAUGAUAAUUGGUGUUCCACAUGGAAGUAUCCCAGCCCCUCUGGCAGAGAGCAGGGCAGCACUGAGAGGCUCCAAGAGCAGCUCUGUGCAGCCCCCCCAGGCUGGGAGAGGAGAGGGAAAUGUGUCCCAGCUCUGCAGAACACCAGAGACCAAUCAGAGCCGUGAAAUUCACUGCCCAAGGGACCACGGUCAGAUGAGUUUCUCCGCAGGCUGUGGUGCCUCACUGCAGAAACAGGGCAAUGUGACUCUUGGAAGUUAAAUUCCUAAGGAGAGGAAGGAAUGGGUUAUGCUCUGAUUGCACAUUGGCUUAAAUUGGGAGCUGCUCUAAUAAUCUGUGGAAUGGGAUGGGUCUGAGCGCCAGCUGAAGUGAAAGGCAGCUCAGGCUGAGGCCAUGUGCGUCCCAGGCUUGCUUUUAAUUUCUACAUUAUUUUUCCUUAAUAUAAAUAUCAACCACAACAGGUACUAACGGAAGACUCUGGGAGCCUUUCCCAGCUGCUUUGGGCUUCAAUCCCCAAAGCUUGCCUCUCAUAAUUCAGUUUCACCUUCAGGCACUUUAAAGUUAAUAGACUCAUUUGAGCAAAGGGCUUAUUGGAAAUCCAUGUUGGAAAAUAGUGAGCGUAAGUGUGCUGGUGCCAAGCUAUAAACACAUUUAUACAGUGCAGUAAAUCAGUGCUGCUGCCUCUCUUUGGAAGGGCCGGGCCAAUUAAGCUGAAUGUACAGGAUAUGAGGAUGGAACCUGUUCAGCUGCAGGCAGGUAGCAAAGACUGCGGCCACACCAUCCUGCUGGGCCUCAUUUUGACAUUGCCCUGCCUGGCCAAAUUUGAUACCAUUCGCUUUUGGCUUGUCAUUCACUGACUGCUGAAAAAGAACAGGGAUUUGGAAAGGCACCGGCAGCAUUGUGUGGAUGCAGCACGAGGACAGGCAAAUGGAAGAGGCAGGAAAGGUGAUGCCUGUGGACAUAUACUGGUACAAGGUCCGCAAAUGAGUUGGGCUCUGAAAUGCAGUAAUGAUGCUGGACUCACUCUCAGAAUCCCUGCAUAGGCAGACGUUCUAUGAUUUGGCCAAUGACUUCUUACAAACAAGACAAUGUUCUUUGUUAUCAGAGCAUUUCAUUGAACUACCUUAAUGACUCCCCUGCCUCUUAAGUGUUAUCUAAAAUACAAAACAAGGUACAAUAAUAGGAUGGGAUGUUACAGAGAACUGGUUGGCUUUUAGUGCAUUAAGUCCCUGGAUAUUAUUUAUAUUUUCUGUUUGUGUAAAACCUAUAAUUGACUAUUAAAUGUGAAGUUACCAUUGCCUGAAUAGGUGCUUAGAUCAUAGAAGCUGUAGCUGGAUGCUGACAGCUGGCAGAGCUAUCUUGCAAAAACUUCAAAAUGCAUUAGAAUGCACACCAAAAAAAAGUAAUUUUUUAAAUGAGAGAAAAGAGGAAGAAAAAGAACCCUUUGUCCCAUUUAAAAUGGAAGAAUUCAGACUUUGAGAGAGAACUAAGAAGGGGGAUUUCAAACAUUCUUUUAAAGGUUUUGUUUUCCUUUUAAGAUUCAAAAAAGUCAAGCACUCUUGCUGCUGCCCCAGUCCCUCAUGCAAGAUGGUCUCAUGCUACUCUGCCAAUACCUAAAGCAGGAGGAAGAGAUUUCCAAAUCAAGUGCCAAAAGCAACUACCAGGUCACCAGCAGCGCCUGCCCAGGUCCUAACCCAUGGCACUAAUUAUCCAUCUGCCUUGUCAGCUGCCUGAACAGAUUCUCCAUCCUGUGGCUGGGCACAGGAACAGGCUGCCUUUCCUCUUCUCACACAUCUUACCAUGGGUAGGUUUGUUUGCAAUGAUUUUUAAACUUUGUUCUAGCUAUUCUGCUUGCACCUUCACUCCUCUCAUUACUUGUUUCACUGCUCAUUUACUCACUGGAACAAAAAUUGUUUGAGACAAGCACUAAAGAAGUGAAUGUCUGUGAACAGAAACCAAACUCAUUCCCUUCAGGAAGUUGGCAGCUCACUGCACCAUGAUAAAACAGAGGUAUUCACCUUUAAAUCCUGGCUUUUGAAAGCAAGGAGAAACUCACAUAAGCACAAAGCCCAUAAUACAAACCCCAAAUCCACAAAUAUCUCCUGCGAGCAGGGCAAUGCACUCACCGUGGUGGGGAGCAGCCUAUAGCUCUGGAGCAGCAUUCAUGAGCAGCCUGGCACUCGGCAGUCCUUAGCACAGGAAAUGCUGCCACCUGAACAAAUAAAGGAGAUAUCCUGGCAUGGGCCAUGGAAGCCUCUCUUUUUAACUUGUAUCAGCAUCAUCUGGGGGAAAAGGGAACCACAAAGAGGUGGGAAGAGCAGUGGCCUCUGACUGCAACUUCCCUCCUGCGGCACCCUCGUCACAGGCUGCUGCCUCCUACCUUAAUCCUUUAAUUCUUCACCAAGGCCAGUGGAUAUUUUCCACCUUCACAGCUUCUUCAUGGCAUGAAUUAGUGAGCUGAAUCUGCCUUAAAGUAUAUCCGAGCUCCCAUCCUCUCUACACCAAAGCCAUCAUUACCUGCAGAGAAAACAAUAGCACAGAGUGAAGGGUAAAAAUCUCUGUUCUAGAAAGUGACUACUCUUGGCUGCCUAAGGGGCUGUUCCCCUCAGCAUGGCACUGGCUGUGCAAUGCAUUUUCUUUCACACACAGUACUCUUGGUUUCUUAAUAUCUCGACUGGUUCUUCCAGUACAUUAGUCCCAUUUGCUUCUACAGCUACAUCCCUAACCAGCCUAAUUUGUCCUCUUUAUCAUCUUGAAGAAAUUUUGAAAGACAGUUCAGAAAUUUUUCUAUCUGAGUUUUCCAAGUGUGUUUCACUAUUCCAGUGUCUGUUAUAUUGAGCUUGGAGCAUCCUCAAAUCUACAAGGUAUGAGAGACUUCAUUCAGAGCAGAUCCUUCAUUAAGUUUAACACCAGACUGGGGUGGCUCCACAUUUGCUUUUUCACACUCACAUUAAACAGACUUUAAACAGUUGUUGACUUAUUUGUGGUAUGUGAUGUUGCAUGAUCUGGAAAUUAAAUAUCAGGAUUGUAUUUCACCCCCAAGUCCCAAGGGGUUAAUAAAGGAUUCUGUUUGCUGAUUGUUUU
This is a long non-coding RNA of Motacilla alba alba, 4247 nucleotides long. RefSeq lists it as uncharacterized. The record is from RefSeq and is a predicted model, not a curated record. Lineage: Eukaryota; Metazoa; Chordata; Aves; Passeriformes; Motacillidae. The transcript is spliced from 3 exons.